RNAcentral lists this transfer RNA (72 nucleotides) under Solirubrobacterales bacterium. RNAcentral describes it as "tRNA-Glu". It matches the Rfam family "tRNA". From Rfam's summary of the family: Transfer RNA (tRNA) molecules are approximately 80 nucleotides in length. Their secondary structure includes four short double-helical elements and three loops (D, anti-codon, and T loops). The record is from RNAcentral. Lineage: Bacteria; Bacillati; Actinomycetota; Thermoleophilia; Solirubrobacterales. RNAcentral also lists the same sequence under 3 other names.
GGCCCCGUGGUCUAACGGUUAGGACAGCGGCCUUUCACGCCGCAGGCGGGAGUUCGAUUCUCCCCGGGGCUA